RNAcentral lists this ribosomal RNA (205 nucleotides) under uncultured Leptolinea sp. RNAcentral's name for it is "partial 16S ribosomal RNA". It matches the Rfam family "Bacterial small subunit ribosomal RNA", at positions 1179 to 1382 of the family's 1533-position model. The record is from RNAcentral. Lineage: Bacteria; Bacillati; Chloroflexota; Anaerolineae; Anaerolineales; Anaerolineaceae.
AUGAUGUCAAGUCAGCAUGGACCUUUAUAUCCAGGGCUACACACACGCUACAAUGGCCAACACAAUAGGUUGCUAAGCCGCGAGGUGGCGCCAAUCCAUAAAGUUGGUCUCAGUUCAGAUUGUAGGCUGCAACCCGCCUGCAUGAAGAUGGAGUUGCUAGUAACCGCAGGUCAGCUAUACUGCGGUGAAUACGUUCCCGGGGCUU